Lepidothrix coronata (blue-crowned manakin) is the source of this 144-nucleotide long non-coding RNA. RefSeq lists it as uncharacterized. The transcript has 3 exons. NCBI's taxonomy places the organism in Eukaryota, Metazoa, Chordata, Aves, Passeriformes, Pipridae. The record is from RefSeq and is a predicted model, not a curated record.
CCAGGGGUGGAUGCAGCACUGCAGGUGGGGUCUCACAAGAGCAGAGCAGAGGGGGAGAAUCCCCUCCUUCAACCUGCUGCCCACUUUGCCUUUGAUGCAGCCCAGGACACAACUGGUUUUCUGGGCUGUGAGUGCACAUUGCUG